UACACGCUGUGACUAGCAUAUCAAUAAGCGGAGGAAAAGAAACUAACAGGAUUCCCCUAGUAACGGCGAGUGAAGCGGGAAGAGCUCAAAUUUGAAAUCUUAAAGGGUUUCCCUUUACGAAUUGUAGUUUAAAGAAGUGUUUUCUGUUGAGGUUUUGGUAAAAGUUCUUUGGAAUAGGACAUCAUAGAGGGUGAGAAUCCCGUAUUUGACCUUUACUUUCAACUUUGUGAUACACUUUCAAAGAGUCGGAUUGUUUGGGAAUGCAGUCCAAAAUGGGUGGUAAAUUUCAUCUAAAGCUAAAUAUUGGCGAGAGACCGAUAGCGAACAAGUACCGUGAGGGAAAGAUGAAAAGAACUUUGAAAAGAGAGUUAAACAGUACGUGAAAUUGUCAAAAGGGAAGCGUUUGACACCAGUGUUGUUUUUCUGAAAAUCAAUUAAAGAACUGUUUAUGCUAAGCUGUUUAGACUUUAUCAGCUAUCUGUUUAGUUUUGAGCUUUUCUUUAAUGCACUUUUCAGUUAACAAGUCAACAUCAAUUUCUUUUGCUGUAAAAAAGCUUGAGGAAGGUGGCUUGAGAUUCGUCUUAAGUGUUUAUAGCCUCUUGCCUAUGCAGUCGGAGAGAUUGAGGUCUGCAGCGUAGAUCCUUCGGGGCUAAAUGCAUUCGUGCUAAGUUAUAGCAUUUUAUAGACAACUUGUUGACUAUGAUUUGUCUUGUAGCUUACUCGCUUAUGCUAUUUUACCUACGCUUAGGAUGUUGAAGAUGUAGCACAUCAU
This 772-nucleotide ribosomal RNA is filed under the name uncultured Neocallimastigales. RNAcentral describes it as "partial large subunit ribosomal RNA". It matches the Rfam family "Eukaryotic large subunit ribosomal RNA", at positions 22 to 635 of the family's 3401-position model. Lineage: Eukaryota; Fungi; Neocallimastigomycota; Neocallimastigomycetes; Neocallimastigales. The record is from RNAcentral.